AUUGAACGCUGGCGGCAUGCUUUACACAUGCAAGUCGAACGGUAACAGGCCUUCGGGUGCUGACGAGUGGCGAACGGGUGAGUAAUGCAUCGGAACGUACCCAGAGGUGGGGGAUAACGCAGCGAAAGCUGUGCUAAUACCGCAUGUGAUCUGAGGAUGAAAGCGGGGGACCGAGCAGCAAUGUUUGGCCUCGCGCCUUUGGAGCGGCCGAUGUGGGGUUAGCUAGUGGGUGGGGUAAAGGCCUACCAAGGCGACGAUCCGUAGCUGGUCUGAGAGAACGACCAGCCACAUGGGAACUGAGACACGGCCCAGACUCCUACGGGAGGCAGCAGUGGGGAAUUGUGGACAAUGGGCGCAAGCCUGAUCCAGCAAUGCCGCGUGCGGGAAGAAGGCCUUCGGGUUGUAAACCGCUUUUGGCAGGAACGAAACGGUGUCCGCUAAUACCGGGCGCUAAUGACGGUACCUGCAGAAUAAGCACCGGCUAACUACGUG
RNAcentral lists this ribosomal RNA (492 nucleotides) under uncultured bacterium. Its description in RNAcentral is "partial 16S ribosomal RNA". It matches the Rfam family "Bacterial small subunit ribosomal RNA", at positions 29 to 507 of the family's 1533-position model. The record is from RNAcentral.